RNAcentral lists this ribosomal RNA (253 nucleotides) under uncultured bacterium. Its description in RNAcentral is "partial 16S ribosomal RNA". It matches the Rfam family "Bacterial small subunit ribosomal RNA", at positions 524 to 776 of the family's 1533-position model. The record is from RNAcentral.
UCCGGAGGGCGCGACCGUUACCCGGAUUUACUGGGCGUAAAGGGCGUGUAGGCGGUCUGGGGCGUCCCAUGUGAAAGGCCACGGCUCAACCGUGGAGGAGCGUGGGAUACGCUCAGGCUAGACGGUGGGAGAGGGUGGUGGAAUUCCCGGAGUAGCGGUGAAAUGCGCAGAUACCGGGAGGAACGCCGAUGGCGAAGGCAGCCACCUGGUUCACUGGUGACGCUGAGGCGCGAAAGCGUGGGGAGCAAACCGG